GCCCGCCUAGCUCAAUCGGAUAGAGCGUCAGACUCUUACAGUCAAGGCUUGGGUAUCUGAAGGCUGUGAGUUCGACCCUCACGGUGGGCU
Non-coding RNA from Schizophyllum amplum, 90 nucleotides. The record is from the annotation of a GenBank genome assembly. Lineage: Eukaryota; Fungi; Basidiomycota; Agaricomycetes; Agaricales; Schizophyllaceae.